CGAGCGUUUGCUUGCGGUUAAUACCGAAGGGACGGGAUGAAACAAGGAAGCCAGAAUGCAGCGGCCCCUCGAUAUCACCAGGAACUGCUACAGGAGGAGGCGUUCUGGCACGGGUAACUAGGAUUAAUUGCCACGGCUGAAGUUGAAGAGACCAAGAAACGUAAGCCGCGAAGGGGCACAUCUCGAAGAGAAGCAGCAAGACCUGGGGAUCCGGUGGUUCGUUUUGGUCGUCGCCUGUGAGGCCAGCAUGCAAGAGUAAGAGGAAGCUAGGAGCAGUCUCAAAAAGAGAUGGAACCAAGGACAGCAAAUGCUGACGAGGAGAAGAGACGGACGAGCGUUUGCUUGCGGUUAAUACCGAAGGGACGGGAUGAAACAAGGAAGCCAGAAUGCAGCGGCCCCUCGAUAUCACCAGGAACUGCUACAGGAGGAGGCGUUCUGGCACGGGUAACUAGGGUAAGUAUGGCUAAUGACCGUUAGCAGUUAUUUUGGCCUCCCCGAGGCAGC
Dromaius novaehollandiae (emu) is the source of this 504-nucleotide long non-coding RNA. RefSeq lists it as uncharacterized. The transcript is spliced from 3 exons. Lineage: Eukaryota; Metazoa; Chordata; Aves; Casuariiformes; Dromaiidae. The record is from RefSeq and is a predicted model, not a curated record.